RNAcentral lists this ribosomal RNA (277 nucleotides) under uncultured bacterium. Its description in RNAcentral is "partial 16S ribosomal RNA". It matches the Rfam family "Bacterial small subunit ribosomal RNA", at positions 28 to 315 of the family's 1533-position model. The record is from RNAcentral.
GAUUAACGCUGGCGGCGUGCCUAACACAUGCAAGUCGAACGAGGUAGCAAUACCUAGUGGCAGACGGGUGAGUAACACGUGACCAACCUACCCUAGAGUGGGGGAUAACUAGCCGAAAGGUUAGCUAAUACCGCAUGACACGUACCGGGGCAUCCCGGAACGUUGAAAGGAGCAAUCCGCUCGAGGACGGGGUCGCGUCCGAUUAGCUAGUUGGUGGGGUAACGGCCUACCAAGGCUCCGAUCGGUAGCUGGUUUGAGAGAGCGACCAGCCACACUG